AGCGGUUUCUUUUCGUAAGGUUGAAAGUCACGCUUCCGUUAGUGACACCAGCUAGCAAGCGUUGCAGCUGGUCUAAGAUUUACGAAGACAUCGUAAACCUUUGCAUAACGAUGAAAGUAGAGAACUCUUCGAAACGUCUGGUUUUAGCGGUUGUAGCGAUGACAGCGUAUAGCACAGCUUUUUUUGCAAGACACGGUUUUUCAAUAAGUCUUAGGGAACUUCGUGAGCCGCUCCCACUCAUGCCAAUUGAGCUUGCGUGCCACAAACCUGGAGAUGGCCAGGGAACACGGUUUGCAAGAUUUUCUAUAAUUAACAUUGCAAGCUUGUUCAAGCUAUGAAGCACAAGAGUACUUCACUAAAAUUUAAGCAAUCUAUCGCAUAUCUCCGUAAUAUCUUAUUCGGUGCGUCGUAACAUAGCAGCCUAAUGGACAAUAACGGUUCCGCGAACUCUUUGAAAAACUUCACAGUAGUAGCGAAUUUUAACGCUUUGGCAAACAGUCAAGCGACAUUGCAUAGUAUGCAAGGCAACAUAGUAAACUCAGCGUCAAUGACGGCCCUUCUUUCGGUAUUUUAAUGGUGAUGCUCUCGAUACCUGGAGCCUUCCUCUGCGGCAAUGCGUAGAUUAUUAUUUCGUCGGUUUUAGUAGCUGUGGUAGACCCUAAUCGGUUUAAUAACUUAUUUUUUCUAUUUUCAUAUAUCACUGACAGCGCAGCCCUCAAGUUUUUAAGACUAAUAUGCUUGUAAUAUGAUAAUACACAGGAUUUUAAACGCUGAGAAACCGCAAGACUUUGCACCGCGUUUAGGCUCUCUGGCCUGACGUUUGGGGCGCAGACCCCGAGUGUACUCUCACGCCCCACGACAAUCCGCUAUAAAGGAAUUUUUUUAAGGAAGCUUCAUAAUUUUGUAGUAGUUGGCGACAUUUCCUCUUUAGAAAAAACUAUAAAAGAAAAAAAAUAUCGAUGUUAAUAUAGUAGACAAGCAUAAUAGAACUCUUCUUCACUGGGCCGUGCACGGCGGAAAUGAAAGACUCAUUAAGUUUCUUUUAAGUAAAGGGUUGCGUCCAACUAUCCGUUCUUCGGCUGGAUUAUUACCAAUUCACACAGCUGUGCUUUGCGGACACACCAAAGUGGUUGAGCUUUUACUUAAUUCAAAACUUAAGCCUGAAUACAACAGUGAACUUUUUUUGUAUGACAAAAUUAUGCUACAUUGGGCUGCUGAACAAGGAAACAGUGAUAUUGUUUCUCUUUUGUUAAAGGCCGGAUUUGAUCCCGCUGCUUUGAAUUUAAAUGAAAAAAACGUGGCAGAAGUAGCGGCAUUAAAUGGUCAUAGGGAACUGUCAGAAUUCAUUGAAAAAAG
Molecule: long non-coding RNA, 1356 nt
Organism: Zophobas morio
Lineage: Eukaryota; Metazoa; Arthropoda; Insecta; Coleoptera; Tenebrionidae
Exons: 6
Source: RefSeq, a predicted model, not a curated record